GAUGUUAGCGGCGGACGGGUGAGUAACACGUGGGUAACCUGCCUGUAAGACUGGGAUAACUCCGGGAAACCGGGGCUAAUACCGGAUGGUUGUUUGAACCGCAUGGUUCAGACAUAAAAGGUGGCUUCGGCUACCACUUACAGAUGGACCCGCGGCGCAUUAGCUAGUUGGUGAGGUAACGGCUCACCAAGGCAACGAUGCGUAGCCGACCUGAGAGGGUGAUCGGCCACACUGGGACUGAGACACGGCCCAGACUCCUACGGGAGGCAGCAGUAGGGAAUCUUCCGCAAUGGACGAAAGUCUGACGGAGCAACGCCGCGUGAGUGAUGAAGGUUUUCGGAUCGUAAAGCUCUGUUGUUAGGGAAGAACAAGUGCCGUUCAAAUAGGGCGGCACCUUGACGGUACCUAACCAGAAAGCCACGGCUAACUACGUGCCAGCAGCCGCGGUAAUACGUAGGUGGCAAGCGUUGUCCGGAAUUAUUGGGCGUAAAGGGCUCGCAGGCGGUUUCUUAAGUCUGAUGUGAAAGCCCCCGGCUCAACCGGGGAGGGUCAUUGGAAACUGGGGAACUUGAGUGCAGAAGAGGAGAGUGGAAUUCCACGUGUAGCGGUGAAAUGCGUAGAGAUGUGGAGGAACACCAGUGGCGAAGGCGACUCUCUGGUCUGUAACUGACGCUGAGGAGCGAAAGCGUGGGGAGCGAACAGGAUUAGAUACCCUGGUAGUCCACGCCGUAAACGAUGAGUGCUAAGUGUUAGGGGGUUUCCGCCCCUUAGUGCUGCAGCUAACGCAUUAAGCACUCCGCCUGGGGAGUACGGUCGCAAGACUGAAACUCAAAGGAAUUGACGGGGGCCCGCACAAGCGGUGGAGCAUGUGGUUUAAUUCGAAGCAACGCGAAGAACCUUACCAGGUCUUGACAUCCUCUGACAAUCCUAGAGAUAGGACGUCCCCUUCGGGGGCAGAGUGACAGGUGGUGCAUGGUUGUCGUCAGCUCGUGUCGUGAGAUGUUGGGUUAAGUCCCGCAACGAGCGCAACCCUUGAUCUUAGUUGCCAGCAUUCAGUUGGGCACUCUAAGGUGACUGCCGGUGACAAACCGGAGGAAGGUGGGGAUGACGUCAAAUCAUCAUGCCCCUUAUGACCUGGGCUACACACGUGCUACAAUGGGCAGAACAAAGGGCAGCGAAACCGCGAGGUUAAGCCAAUCCCACAAAUCUGUUCUCAGUUCGGAUCGCAGUCUGCAACUCGACUGCGUGAAG
Molecule: ribosomal RNA, 1251 nt
Filed under: Bacillus sp. 3080O2
Lineage: Bacteria; Bacillati; Bacillota; Bacilli; Caryophanales; Bacillaceae
Description: bacterial SSU rRNA
Rfam family: Bacterial small subunit ribosomal RNA
Source: RNAcentral